RNAcentral lists this transfer RNA (70 nucleotides) under Trichophilopterus babakotophilus. Its description in RNAcentral is "tRNA-Trp". Lineage: Eukaryota; Metazoa; Arthropoda; Insecta; Psocodea; Philopteridae. The record is from RNAcentral.
AAAAUAAUAAGUUAAAAAAUUAAACUAAUACCCUUCAAAGGUAGAAAUAGUUACGUAAAACUUUAUUUUA